AUUGAACGCUGGCGGCAUGCUUCACACAUGCAAGCCGAACGGCAGCGUGGGCUUCGGCCUGGCGGCGAGUGGCGCACGGGGGAGUCAUGCACCGGACCGUGGCCAGUAGUGGUGAUUAGCCCGGCGAAUGCAGGACUUUUCCCGAUUACGCCCUGCGGUUGAAAGCGGGGGAGCGGAAGAUCUUGCGCUAUUGCAGCAGCCUAUGUCGGAUUAGCUAGUGGGAGGGGUCAAGGCUUAACAAGGCGCCGAUCACUAUCUGGUCUGACAGGACGACACGCCACACUGGUACGGGGACACGCCCCAGACUCCUACGGGAGGCAGCAGUGGGGAAUUUUCGACAUAGGAGGCAACCCUGAUCCAGCCAUGCCGCGUGCGAGAAGAGCGACUUCGGGUUGUAAACCGCUUUUUUUCGUGAAGAAAUCCUUUGGGCUAAUGCCCCGGGGGGAUGACGGUACCGGAAGAAUAAGCACCGGCUAACUACGUG
Molecule: ribosomal RNA, 484 nt
Filed under: uncultured bacterium
Lineage: Bacteria
Description: partial 16S ribosomal RNA
Rfam family: Bacterial small subunit ribosomal RNA
Source: RNAcentral